RNAcentral lists this ribosomal RNA (459 nucleotides) under uncultured bacterium. RNAcentral describes it as "partial 16S ribosomal RNA". It matches the Rfam family "Bacterial small subunit ribosomal RNA", at positions 338 to 795 of the family's 1533-position model. The record is from RNAcentral.
CCUACGGGAGGCAGCAGUGAGGAAUAUUGGUCAAUGGACGCAGGGCUGAACCAGCCAAGCCGCGUGAGGGAUGACGGUCCUAUGGAUUGUAAACCUCUUUUGUCAGGGAGCAAAGGGCGCCACGCGUGGCGUUCUGCGAGUACCUGAAGAAAAAGCAUCGGCUAACUCCGUGCCAGCAGCCGCGGUAAUACGGAGGAUGCGGGCGUUAUCCGGAUUUAUUGGGUUAAAAGGGUGCGCAGGCGGAAUGUCAAGUCAGAGGUAAAAUUUCGGGGCUCAACCCCGACGUGCCGUUGAAACUGGCGGGCUAGAGUGAGCGAGAAGUAUGCGGAAUGCGUGGUGUAGCGGUGAAAUGCAUAGAUAUCACGCAGAACUCCGAUUGCGAAGGCAGCAUACCGGCGCUCAACUGACGCUGAUGCACGAAAGCGUGGGGAUCGAACAGGAUUAGAUACCCCUGUAGUC